GACGAACGCUGGCGGCGUGCUUAACACAUGCAAGUCGAACGGAAAGGCCCUGCUUUUGUGGGGUGCUCGAGUGGCGAACGGGUGAGUAACACGUGAGUAACCUGCCCUUGACUUUGGGAUAACUUCAGGAAACUGGGGCUAAUACCGGAUAGGAGCUCCUGCUGCAUGGUGGGGGUUGGAAAGUUUCGGCGGUUGGGGAUGGACUCGCGGCUUAUCAGCUUGUUGGUGGGGUAGUGGCUUACCAAGGCUUUGACGGGUAGCCGGCCUGAGAGGGUGACCGGCCACAUUGGGACUGAGAGACGGCCCAGACUCCUACGGGAGGCAGCAGUGGGGAAUAUUGCACAAUGGGCGGAAGCCUGAUGCAGCAACGCCGCGUGCGGGAUGACGGCCUUCGGGUGGUAAACCGCUUUCGCCGGUGACGAAGCGUGAGUGACGGUAAUGGGUAAAGAAGCACCGGCUAACUACGUG
This 468-nucleotide ribosomal RNA is filed under the name uncultured bacterium. RNAcentral's name for it is "partial 16S ribosomal RNA". It matches the Rfam family "Bacterial small subunit ribosomal RNA", at positions 28 to 507 of the family's 1533-position model. The record is from RNAcentral.